Molecule: non-coding RNA, 126 nt
Organism: Triticum aestivum (bread wheat)
Lineage: Eukaryota; Viridiplantae; Streptophyta; Magnoliopsida; Poales; Poaceae
Source: Rfam
CAACUACUCCCUCUGUCCCAAAUUUCUUUUCUUAGAUUUGUCUAGAUACGGAUGUAUCUAAUGUAUUAGAUUCAUCCGUAUCUAGACAAAUCUAAGACAAUAAUUUUGGGACGGAGGGAGUACUUU